Molecule: ribosomal RNA, 975 nt
Filed under: Triticum aestivum (bread wheat)
Lineage: Eukaryota; Viridiplantae; Streptophyta; Magnoliopsida; Poales; Poaceae
Description: partial small subunit ribosomal RNA
Source: RNAcentral
AUGACAGAUGCAAUAGCAAAGUACUGGUGGGGUGAUGAUGACAACCACAAGCGUAUACAUUGGGAAACAUGGUGGAAACUUUGUUUGCCUAAGGAUAGAGGAGGACUGGGGUUCAGGGAUUUACAUAGCUUUAACCUUGCUCUACUUGCCAAACAAGUGUGGAGGCUGCUGGAAAACCCGGACUCUCUUUGUGCACAUAUUUUGAGGGCCAAAUAUUAUCCGGAUGGAAAAUUAUUAGAUGCUAAAUUGAAGAGUGGGAGCUCGUAUACAUGGCAGAGUAUUUGUGUUGGGAUUAACACGUUCAGGAGAGGCGCAAUAUGGCGCAUAGGAGAUGGUUCACAAGUGAAUAUCUGGUCUGUCCCGUGGAUUCAGUCUAGCGCUAAUGGACGUGUCAUUACACCAUGAGGUGCGACUCUGCUAUCUAAGGUUUCUGAUCUGAUUGAUCCUGUCACCGGUCUAUGGGACCAUGAGCUGAUAAAUAAUGUGUUCUGGCCGGUGGAUGCCCACCGAAUCUUGUCAAUCCCACUAGCACCGAAUGGAAUGAUGGAAGACUUUGUGGCUUGGAAAUUUACAAAGAACCAUAUCUUUUUGGUAAGAUCAGCUUACUAUGUUGAAUGGGAACACCAAUUUGCUUGCUGGUACGAAAGAACAGAGGGACAACUAUCUGAACGGCACCCGGUAUGGGCAAAUCUUUGGAGUUUCCAAGUUCCAGCGAAGAUCAAGAUCCAUGCAUGGAAGGUUUUACACGGAUUCAUUCCUUGCUAUGGGGUCCUGGUAAAUCGGCACAUUAGCACGGCGAAUAGUUGCCCUAUGUGUGCUGGUGGAUGUGAGGACAUCAUGCAAUCACUUUUUACUUUCCCGAGGGCAGCUGAAAUUUGCAGGUGUCUGAAGCUGGAUAAAUUCAUAGAAGAAGCUUGCUUGACUGAUAGGGCGGGAGCGGCAGCAUUGGACUAUAUUUUAUGUGCUCCGUCAUGA